GGGGGGGUGCCAAAUCAGAAUGCGGAUCAUAACGGAUGAUCCGCUGUGGCGACCCCGAACGGGAGCAGCCGAAAGACGAACAACAACAUUUGUUCUUGCUAUUUAUUCUCAUUUCCUGAAUAUUCCCAUUGAAUGAUCUCGGUGGUCCUUCAGCACAGGUGAUGACCCCCUCAGGCCGCAACCCACAGUCACACAGCACCUCGGGUGCGCAAGACCAACAUUCGAGGAGUCAAACUUCUGGGGGUUCUUCCUCAACGUCAUCGGGGCAUGCGGACCAGAGGCCCCACGUCGGAAUUGCACAGUUUUCUGGCCCGCUAAGUAGGGGGGGGGGGGGGGGGGGGGGGGGGGGGGGGGGGGGGGGGGGGGGGGGGGGGGGGGGGGGGGGGGGGGGGGGGGGAGAUAACUGGCAUGUCCCAAUGAGCUGGUGGUCCCCUCCAAACGUCACACCAUCAAGGGGCAUCGAUCGUGGUGCGAGUGGUUUUUCCGGAGCACACCAUAUUGAUCUUGGGAAGAGGAGUAAUAUGGGUGAAAGGAUGGAUCGACAUCACUCAGGAAUGGAAGAUCAUUCUGGCAACCAUCCGCCACAAAGACACGGUCCCUCAAGCGGUCCGCCACAGACAAGCUCCGCUUCUGUAGCUCGGCAACCACACCAUCAACAUCAGGUCGGGGAAGGAAUUAAAUUGCGUCGGCAUUCUGAAGGGAGAUCAGGCUCUUCCACAGAAGGGAGUCAUACACCUGAUUCUACAGGUAGUAACACUCGUAAGACAUGGUGCUGAGUCUCCCCAGAAAUGAGAGAUCGGCUUCCUCCAUGUGCACCACCAAGAGGGGGGGGGGGGGGGGGGGGGGGGGGGGGGGGGGGGGGGGGGGGGGGGGGGGUAUGCAGAGUUGUCAGUUGCCUAUACACCGUCCAAAUAAAGGUAUGCGUCAGAAGAACGUGUUGCAUGCUUGAAACAAGAUCGCCCG
This 963-nucleotide long non-coding RNA is filed under the name Eptatretus burgeri (inshore hagfish). Its description in RNAcentral is "lncRNA (ENSEBUG00000017459.1)". Lineage: Eukaryota; Metazoa; Chordata; Myxini; Myxiniformes; Myxinidae. The record is from RNAcentral.